UACGAAAGGGGCUAGCGUUGCUCGGAAUCACUGGGCGUAAAGGGUGCGUAGGCGGGUCUUAAGUCAGAGGUGAAAUCCUGGAGCUCAACUCCAGAACUGCCUUUGAUACUGAGGAUCUUGAGUUCGGGAGAGGUGAGUGGAACUGCGAGUGUAGAGGUGAAAUUCGUAGAUAUUCGCAAGAACACCAGUGGCGAAGGCGGCUUACUGGUCCGGUUCUGGACGCUGAGGCACGGAAAAGCGUGGGGGAGCAAACAGG
This 256-nucleotide ribosomal RNA is filed under the name uncultured bacterium. Its description in RNAcentral is "partial 16S ribosomal RNA". It matches the Rfam family "Bacterial small subunit ribosomal RNA", at positions 524 to 776 of the family's 1533-position model. The record is from RNAcentral.